RNAcentral lists this ribosomal RNA (485 nucleotides) under uncultured bacterium. Its description in RNAcentral is "partial 16S ribosomal RNA". It matches the Rfam family "Bacterial small subunit ribosomal RNA", at positions 28 to 507 of the family's 1533-position model. The record is from RNAcentral.
GAUGAACGCUAGCGAUAGGCUUAACACAUGCAAGUCGAGGGGCAGCGAGGGUAGCAAUACCUGUCGGCGACCGGCGCACGGGUGAGUAACGCGUAUGUAACCUGCCCGCAACAGGGGGAUAACCCGGCGAAAGUCGGACUAAUACCGCAUAAAACAGGGGUCCCGCAUGGGAAUAUUUGUUAAAGAUUUAUCGGUUGCGGAUGGGCAUGCGUACCAUUAGGUAGUUGGUGAGGUAACGGCUCACCAAGCCUUCGAUGGUUAGGGGUUCUGAGAGGAAGGUCCCCCACACUGGUACUGAGACACGGACCAGACUCCGACGGGAGGCAGCAGUGAGGAAUAUUGGUCAAUGGGCGAGAGCCUGAACCAGCCAAGUCGCGUGAAGGAUGACUGCCCUAUGGGUUGUAAACUUCUUUUACAAGGGAAUAAAAUGAGAUACGUGUAUUUUAUUGCAUGUACCUUGGGAAUAAGCAUCGGCUAACUCCGUG